UACUAAGCCAUGCGAGUCACUGUCGUAGUGAAUACAAGGCAGACGGCUCAGUAACGCGUAGUCAACCUAACCUAUGGACGGGAAUAACCUCGGGAAACUGAGUAUAAUGCCCGAUAGAACAUUAUGCCUGGAAUGGUUUAUGUUCCAAAUGAUUUAUCGCCGUAGGAUGGGACUGCGGCCUAUCAGUGUGUUGGUGAGGUAAUGGCCCACCAAGACUAUUACAGGUACGGGCUCUGAGAGGAGUAGCCCGGAGAUGGGUACUGAGACACGGACCCAGGCCCUAUGGGGCGCAGCAGGCGAGAAAACUUUGCAAUGUGCGAAAGCACGACAAGGUUAAUCCGAGUGGUUUCUGCUAAAGGAACCUUUUGUUAGUCUUAGAAACACUAACGAAUAAGGGGUGGGCAAGUUCUGGUGUCAGCCGCCGCGGUAAAACCAGCACCUCAAGUGGUCAGGAUGAUUAUUGGGCCUAAAGCAUCCGUAGCCGGCUCUGUAAGUUUUCGGUUAAAUCUGUACGCUCAACGUACAGGCUGCCGGGAAUACUGCAGAGCUAGGGAGUGGGAGAGGUAGACGGUACUCGGUAGGAAGGGGUAAAAUCCUUUGAUCUAUCGAUGACCACCUGUGGCGAAGGCGGUCUACCAGAACACGUCCGACGGUGAGGGAUGAACGCUGGGGGAAGCAAACCGGAUUAAUACCCGGGUAGUCCCGGCUGUAAACUAUGCAAACUCAGUGA
Molecule: ribosomal RNA, 730 nt
Filed under: uncultured archaeon
Lineage: Archaea
Description: bacterial SSU rRNA
Rfam family: Archaeal small subunit ribosomal RNA
Source: RNAcentral